AACGCGAAGAACCUUACCUACUCUUGACAUCCAGAGAACUUAGCAGAGAUGCUUUGGUGCCUUCGGGAACUCUGAGACAGGUGCUGCAUGGCUGUCGUCAGCUCGUGUUGUGAAAUGUUGGGUUAAGUCCCGCAACGAGCGCAACCCUUAUCCUUUGUUGCCAGCGGUCCGGCCGGGAACUCAAAGGAGACUGCCAGUGAUAAACUGGAGGAAGGUGGGGAUGACGUCAAGUCAUCAUGGCCCUUACGAGUAGGGCUACACACGUGCUACAAUGGCGCAUACAAAGAGAAGCGACCUCGCGAGAGCAAGCGGACCUCAUAAAGUAUGUCGUAGUCCGGAUUGGAGUCUGCAACUCGACUCCAUGAAGUCGGAAUCGCUAGUAAUCGUGGAUCAGAAUGCCACGGUGAAUACGUUCCCGGGUCUUGUACACACCG
This 434-nucleotide ribosomal RNA is filed under the name bacterium Q13. RNAcentral's name for it is "bacterial SSU rRNA". It matches the Rfam family "Bacterial small subunit ribosomal RNA", at positions 958 to 1392 of the family's 1533-position model. The record is from RNAcentral.